Molecule: long non-coding RNA, 415 nt
Filed under: Vigna radiata
Lineage: Eukaryota; Viridiplantae; Streptophyta; Magnoliopsida; Fabales; Fabaceae
Description: long non-coding RNA (VRAD_LNC009939)
Source: RNAcentral
AAAAUAUAACAAGUAAACUAAAAAAAUGAAAAAGCAACUCAUCUCCAAAAAAAUAAAUUAAAAAGAACACGUGCACCAUGGAAUUGUCAAAUAUUAACAAUCUACUUAAAUGCUGAAUGUAAAUUAACAUAUAUAAUAUAAAAUGCAUCUACAUUCCAACGUUAAAAAAAAGAAAAAAAAAUGUAAAAGAAGACCACGUGAGCAAACCGUGUCUUCUCCCAUUAAUUCACCGUUGCAGCACCUCUUUCAAAGGCCAAAAAUUCCUCCUAAAAUAAAUCACAUCACACCUUGCUUUAAAUUAAAUCAAUGCUUCAUCAAAGGAAAAGAAAAUGUGCUUAUGGAAUUAAGAAACCGUAACAGCAUGCUCCAGGCCAUGCUAUCACUUUCUCCAUGAAUCAUCACCGUCACCUCAUUC